AACUCUCAACCCCGCCAAAGGCUUUAUUGACUUUGGUUGAUUGGGCUUGGAUCAUGGCCUUUGUCGUUACCCUUACGGGUUUGGACUUGGCUGAAAUACAACAAGUUGAAUGGCUUCAUUUGCAGCUUGACCUGAUGUUGUAAACUACUCAUCGGGGAUGUAAUGAAUGCUACAAGAACUUUAAUAGGAACUGUUGGAUGACGGAUUAAUUGAU
This 214-nucleotide unclassified non-coding RNA is filed under the name uncultured Agaricostilbales. RNAcentral describes it as "sequence contains ITS2". The record is from RNAcentral. Lineage: Eukaryota; Fungi; Basidiomycota; Agaricostilbomycetes.